UUUUAUCUACUUAGGAAAUAUUAAAAUUUCUGCCUACACCAUCACUAUUUGAAACACAUGCCAUUGCCUUCUCAUUAUCAUUGUCGCUAACGAGAACAACAACUGAUCAAAAGAUAUAUCCUGUCAGCUACUGUAUCCAAGUUCAUCUCGAGUAAUAGUACCACGAGGAUAAUCACCAAAGACACCAGACAUCUUUAUGAUGCCAGUG
This 208-nucleotide long non-coding RNA is filed under the name Nicotiana benthamiana. RNAcentral's name for it is "long non-coding RNA (NBEN_LNC002720)". Lineage: Eukaryota; Viridiplantae; Streptophyta; Magnoliopsida; Solanales; Solanaceae. The record is from RNAcentral.